GAACAGCAUACGUUGGCAAACCACGCUGCUGUUCUCAGUACACUAUCUCUCAAGACAUUGCGAUCUGACCAGUGGAAAAACAGGAUGUGGUUAACUUUAUGGCUGUAAACGAUACUGACAUCUGUAGUGGUUAAAUAACUGCCUGCAUAUUGCCACGUAGAUAAUGCUGUUGUACUAUGUAUGUACGUGAUGUUAUACAAUAGUUAAAGGUCAUAGGCUGUUUAUGGAGAGAAAAUAAUCCACGCCUCCAAGCGGAGGUAAAAUAAAAGCGGAGACGAGAAUUACGAGAGGGGCUCCGAAAUUGAACUCUGGUCUCACCGUGUCUCACUGUGUCGUGAUAUCUACAUCUGGUGACCUCGACGUGAUUCAGAACAAACACCCUCGUACCCACUGGCAGGAUCAGCCAACGGUGCACCUCAGCGUACAGCUCCCAUUCGUAGCUGCAGUACUGGCAGAAGUGACCAGGGAGAAACCGGUUCCGGCAUUUUCAGCAGUCGGAGUCUCUACCUGCCCCGCGGGUGCAGUUUCGGCAACUACCAAAUCCAGAGUGGAAAGGCCCAGUUCCGCUUAUAACGUGGGGUCGAGGUUACGCGGCUGUGUCUACGCCUGACGGUCCUGUGUGGGUACCUGCUAGGUGUAUCCGGCCCUGGAAAGACGAUGUCCUGGCACGAUAAUCUUAAGAAUCCCAUCCCUAAUUUUUCUCUGCAACUUCAGGAUACUGGGAUGUCUUCCAGGAAGCGUGGUCGGAAUGUUCCGCAACCUCCCGUGACUUGGGGCCAAAUAAAGAACUUAGCAACACAAGCAGAAAAAGCAAUGGAACAAGCCGGGGUGGACAAGACAACUGAGAAUACCAUUCUUGCUUUAAUUGCGUCUUUAAAUACAAAUUCUAUUUUUGUACUUUGCAUUUGUUGGAUUUUAGGAAGCGCCGGGGCUGACAGGUUGGGGCAGGAGUUGGGGAUGCGGUUUCAACACAAUAUCUGGGUUCAGUUAGCAAGAAUGACAAAUGUGAGUGACUUUUGCAUGACUGAACAUGUACAGGAAAUGGGUAUGUUGGGAACAUGUUUAAUACCCGUAUGCAAAGCACCUGGGGAUAUUGGGAACAUU
Molecule: long non-coding RNA, 1104 nt
Organism: Rhineura floridana
Lineage: Eukaryota; Metazoa; Chordata; Lepidosauria; Squamata; Rhineuridae
Exons: 3
Source: RefSeq, a predicted model, not a curated record